Molecule: ribosomal RNA, 253 nt
Filed under: uncultured bacterium
Lineage: Bacteria
Description: partial 16S ribosomal RNA
Rfam family: Bacterial small subunit ribosomal RNA
Source: RNAcentral
UACGUAGGGUCCGAGCGUUGUCCGGAAUUAUUGGGCGUAAAGGGCUCGUAGGCGGUUUGUCGCGUCGGGAGUGAAAUCUUACAGCUUAACUGUGAACUUGCUUCCGAUACGGGCAGACUUGAGGCAUUCAGGGGAGAACGGAAUUCCUGGUGUAGCGGUGAAAUGCGCAGAUAUCAGGAGGAACACCGGUGGCGAAGGCGGUUCUCUAGUACGGUACUGACGCUGAGACGCGAAAGCGUGGGGAGCGAACAGG